GAUGAACGCUGGCGGCGUGCCUAAUACAUGCAAGUCGAGCGAACGGACGAGAAGCUUGCUUCUCUGAUGUUAGCGGCGGACGGGUGAGUAACACGUGGAUAACCUACCUAUAAGACUGGGAUAACUUCGGGAAACCGGAGCUAAUACCGGAGAAUAUUUUGAACCGCAUGGUUCAAAAGUGAAAGACGGUCUUGCUGUCACUUAUAGAUGGAUCCGCGCUGCAUUAGCUAGUUGGUAAGGUAACGGCUUACCAAGGCAACGAUGCAUAGCCGACCUGAGAGGGUGAUCGGCCACACUGGAACUGAGACACGGUCCAGACUCCUACGGGAGGCAGCAGUAGGGAAUCUUCCGCAAUGGGCGAAAGCCUGACGGAGCAACGCCGCGUGAGUGAUGACGGUCUUCGGAUCGUAAAACUCUGUUAUUAGGGAAGAACAUAUGUGUAAGUAACUGUGCACAUCUUGACGGUACCUAAUCAGAAAGCCACGGCUAACUACGUG
RNAcentral lists this ribosomal RNA (497 nucleotides) under uncultured bacterium. Its description in RNAcentral is "partial 16S ribosomal RNA". It matches the Rfam family "Bacterial small subunit ribosomal RNA", at positions 28 to 507 of the family's 1533-position model. The record is from RNAcentral.